Molecule: ribosomal RNA, 311 nt
Filed under: uncultured Monoblepharella
Lineage: Eukaryota; Fungi; Monoblepharomycota; Monoblepharidomycetes; Monoblepharidales; Monoblepharidaceae
Description: partial large subunit ribosomal RNA
Rfam family: Eukaryotic large subunit ribosomal RNA
Source: RNAcentral
AUAUCAAUAAGCGGAGGAAAAGAAACUAACAAGGAUUCCCCUAGUAACUGCGAGUGAAGCGGGAACAGCUCAAAUUUGAAAUCUCCGCGGUCCCCGUGGCGAAUUGUAGUUUCGAGAAGCGUUUUCGGUGGCGGCCUUGGUCCAAGUCCCUUGGAACAGGGUGUCAUAGAGGGUGAGAACCCCGUGAGGCCUUGGCUUGCUGCUAUGUGAUACGCUUUCAAAGAGUCGGGUUGUUUGGGAUUGCAGCCCAAAAUGGGAGGUAAAUUUCUUCUAAAGCUAAAUAUUGGCGAGAGACCGAUAGCGCACAAGUA